ACGCUGGCGGCAGGCCUACACAUGCAAGUCGAGCGGAUGACGGGAGCUUGCUCCUUGAUUAGCGGCGGACGGGUGAGUAAUGCCUAGGAAUCUGCCUGGUAGUGGGGGACAACGUUUCGAAAGGAACGCUAAUACCGCAUACGUCCUACGGGAGAAAGCAGGGGACCUUCGGGCCUUGCGCUAUCAGAUGAGCCUAGGUCGGAUUAGCUAGUUGGUGGGGUAAUGGCUCACCAAGGCGACGAUCCGUAACUGGUCUGAGAGGAUGAUCAGUCACACUGGAACUGAGACACGGUCCAGACUCCUACGGGAGGCAGCAGUGGGGAAUAUUGGACAAUGGGCGAAAGCCUGAUCCAGCCAUGCCGCGUGUGUGAAGAAGGUCUUCGGAUUGUAAAGCACUUUAAGUUGGGAGGAAGGGCAGUAAGCGAAUACCUUGCUGUUUUGACGUUACCGACAGAAUAAGCACCGGCUAACUCUGUGCCAGCAGCCGCGGUAAUACAGAGGGUGCAAGCGUUAAUCGGAAUUACUGGGCGUAAAGCGCGCGUAGGUGGUUCCGUUAAAGUUGGAUUGUGA
Molecule: ribosomal RNA, 570 nt
Filed under: Pseudomonas putida
Lineage: Bacteria; Pseudomonadati; Pseudomonadota; Gammaproteobacteria; Pseudomonadales; Pseudomonadaceae
Description: bacterial SSU rRNA
Rfam family: Bacterial small subunit ribosomal RNA
Source: RNAcentral